GCCAUAUGGAGGGAAGGGGGAAAUUUGGGGGGAAGAGAAGAAAAAUACAUGAGUUCAGUCUGCCAUAUUUAAUCAGAAGCUCCUAAAGCCCAUUUUUAACUCAUUUCUCUACCACCAGCUUCUCAAAAGUGAAAUAAGAAGAUUGGAAAGGAAUCAAGAGCGAGAGAAGUCUGCAGCUAACCUGGAAUACUUGAAGAACGUCUUGCUGCAGUUCAUUUUCUUGAAACCAGGUAGUGAAAGAGAGAGACUUCUUCCUGUUAUAAAUACGAUGUUGCAGCUCAGCCCUGAAGAAAAGGGAAAACUUGCUGCGGUUGCUCAAGGUGAGGAAGAAAAUGCUUCCCGUUCUUCUGGAUGGGCAUCCUAUCUUCAUAGUUGGUCUGGACUUCGAUAGGUUGAUGGAAUAUUUUUAUUAACCAAAUAGAAUCUAUUUACAAAAAUGGUUCAUGUAUAUUACCACCAUUCUUUUGUCAAAAGUGUGUAUAUAUGUUUGCAUCUACAUAUAUUUGUACUAUAUGACAGAUGUAUUUUAAAAGUUUCAUCUUGAAGUAAAAGUACAACAGCUUGAAGUGUUGAUACCAGGCCACAGCUCUCUAACUCAUGUGAUCUCCCAUGCAUGCUGCCAGAAUAAAACCACCAGGAAUGAAUUCACUCCCCACUUCUCUGGAACCUCAGGACCCGCCCAUUUCUCGGCAGUACUGUGAAUUUUGAAGUUAAACUAAAUUUUGGUACCAUACCAACUGGAAUUUAGGCUUUAAAAAUAAUGUUUCAAGGCCAGGUGUGGUGAUUCAUGCCUGAAAUCCCACUACUUUGGGAGGCUGAGGCUGGAGAAUCGCUUGAGGCUAGUGAGCUGUGAUUGUACCACUGCACUCCAGCUCGGGGAACAGAGCGAGACCUUGUCUCUAAAAAUAAUAAUAGUAAUAAAAAUAACGUUUUAUGACUAUUUAUUGCAAGGUCAGAUUUACAGAUUGUUAUAAAUUGUUGAGAAACUUGUGAUUAGAAUAUGAAGGAAAAAGCUUUGUUGGUAAAAGUGACAUGUUAAGGGGCUAUGAAGUAAAUAUGCUGCAGUGAAUUAUGCUAAGUUAAAAUACAGUUUAGUUAUUUGCUUUAAAAUAAACUCUUCUUUUUUUCUUUAUACUAUCUCAAAACUCAUUAUGUUGUCAGAGCCCUAGAGCUGGCUAGUGUAACACUGACUAUGAAUAGGUGGGCCCACCACUUGAGUUGAGGUGAUUUCAUGGUGUCUUUCCAGGCUCUUGAUAGGGUGUCACUGCAUGCAAGCCAUGAAUCUGUUUUGAGAAUCCUCUCCAUUUUCCCAAAUAAAAACCUAUCCCAACAGUGACUAUAUCACUCAGCAUUGGAUCUAAAUAUAAAACUGGUGCUUUCAGUGUUUUUUGGCAGAUAGUGUUCCAUAAGCUUUCCAUCAGAAGGGAUUUUAGACACCUUAGAGGUCCGUGCUACAUCUUCACAGUUCCUCUGAAUAACCUUAGGUGGUAGUGUUACUUGCCUUUGACACCUCUGCAUAUGUUUUAAUGACUAGAUCCAAACUGUGUUGUUCUUAAAUCAAAAAUUGGAUAAUUUUUAAUAUUUAUGUGUUAAUCAUACAGUAUGCUCUCUGAAGUUCUCUUAAGCCUUCAGUUUAUACUCUUAAUUUUCUUUCUGAGCUGGAGAACUGACUUUGCACUUUGGUUACACAGAACAUUGGUUUCCAAUUUAGUUUAACUGAAAUUUGCUGCUGAUAUGUUGAGUUUGUUCUUUAAAAUAUAUCUCAUAUAUCUCGUCUUUCCUCCUGUCUUAGAAGAACAGACCUAAUUAGUGAAUGUAUGAAUGAAAAUGCAUCUAUUUCAGAGCUGAC
RNAcentral lists this long non-coding RNA (1849 nucleotides) under Pan troglodytes (chimpanzee). RNAcentral describes it as "long non-coding RNA NONPTRT010708". The record is from RNAcentral. Lineage: Eukaryota; Metazoa; Chordata; Mammalia; Primates; Hominidae.